Molecule: ribosomal RNA, 254 nt
Filed under: uncultured bacterium
Lineage: Bacteria
Description: partial 16S ribosomal RNA
Rfam family: Bacterial small subunit ribosomal RNA
Source: RNAcentral
UACAGAGGUCCCAAGCGUUUGUUCGGAUUCACUGGGCGUAAAGGGUGCGUAGGUGGCUUGGUAAGUUUGAUGUGAAAUCUCCGGGCUUAACCCGGAAAUGGCAUUGAAUACUAUUGAGCUGGAGGUUUGGAGGGGGGACUGGAAUUCUCGGUGUAGCAGUGAAAUGCGUAGAUAUCGAGAGGAACACCAGUGGCGAAGGCGAGUCCCUGGACAACACCUGACACUGAGGCACGAAAGCUAGGGGAGCAAACAGG